Molecule: ribosomal RNA, 817 nt
Filed under: uncultured bacterium
Lineage: Bacteria
Description: bacterial SSU rRNA
Rfam family: Bacterial small subunit ribosomal RNA
Source: RNAcentral
AGAGUUUGAUCCUGGCUCAGGAUGAACGCUGGCGGCGUGCCUAAUACAUGCAAGUCGAGCGCAACUUCUUAUACCGAACCUUCGGGUUCACUUUAAGAGUUGAGCGGUGGACGGGUGAGUAACACGUAGGCAACCUACCCUUAAGACUGGGAUAACUACGGGAAACCGUAGCUAAUACCGGAUAAUAUCUUUACUCAAAAGAGUAGAGAUUGAAAGAUGGAUUUUCUAUCACUUAAGGAUGGGCCUGCGGCGCAUUAGCUAGUUGGUGAGGUAGUAGCUCACCAAGGCGACGAUGCGUAGCCGACCUGAGAGGGUGAUCGGCCACACUGGGACUGAGACACGGCCCAGACUCCUACGGGAGGCAGCAGUAGGGAAUCUUCCGCAAUGGACGCAAGUCUGACGGAGCAACGCCGCGUGUGUGAUGAAGGAUUUCGGUUCGUAAAGCACUGUUGUUAAGGAAGAAUAGUAGUAAGAGUAACUGUUUACUAAUUGACGGUACUUAACCAGAAAGCCACGGCUAACUACGUGCCAGCAGCCGCGGUAAUACGUAGGUGGCAAGCGUUAUCCGGAAUUAUUGGGCGUAAAGCGCGCGUAGGCGGCAAGAUUAGUCUGAUGUGAAAGCCCCCGGCUCAACCGGGGAGGGUCAUUGGAAACUGUCUUGCUUGAGUGCAGAAGAGGAGAGUGGAAUUCCAUGUGUAGCGGUGAAAUGCGCAGAGAUAUGGAGGAACACCAGUGGCGAAGGCGGCUCUCUGGUCUGCAACUGACGCUGAUGUGCGAAAGCGUGGGGAUCAAACAGGAUUAGAUACCCUGGUAGUCC